CCAGAUCACGUUGAUCACCGAAGUUAAGCAACGUCCAGUCUAUUCAGUACCUAGAUGGGUGACCGUUUGGGAAUACCAGGUGCUGUAAG
Molecule: non-coding RNA, 89 nt
Organism: Acanthosepion pharaonis
Lineage: Eukaryota; Metazoa; Mollusca; Cephalopoda; Sepiida; Sepiidae
Source: the annotation of a GenBank genome assembly